UAAUAUCCUCACCGAACUGGUGCCAUUUAGAUGUAUAGAUGGCUGAAAAGGGAAUCUGGUGUAAAUCCAGAACUGACGCGCAGCGGUAAAAGAGAACGAAGGCUCAUCAGACACUGUACUAGAAAGUAUGGGAAGUCGAGUACUAGGCGGUGAAAACCAUGCUCUUAAGUCCGAAUACCUGCCAGUAGCCGAGAAACACA
RNAcentral lists this non-coding RNA (200 nucleotides) under Aliivibrio fischeri. Lineage: Bacteria; Pseudomonadati; Pseudomonadota; Gammaproteobacteria; Vibrionales; Vibrionaceae. The record is from RNAcentral.